CGAAGGGGCUAGCGUUGUUCGGAAUUACUGGGGCGUAAAGCGCACGUAGGCGGAUUGAUCAGUUAGAGGUGAAAUCCCAGGGCUCAACCCUGGAACUGCCUUUAAUACUGUCAGUCUAGAGAUCGAGAGAGGUGAGUGGAAUUCCGAGUGUAGAGGUGAAAUUCGUAGAUAUUCGGAGGAACACCAGUGGCGAAGGCGGCUCACUGGCUCGAUACUGACGCUGAGGUGCGAAAGCGUGGGAGCAAACAGGAUU
Molecule: ribosomal RNA, 253 nt
Filed under: uncultured bacterium
Lineage: Bacteria
Description: partial 16S ribosomal RNA
Rfam family: Bacterial small subunit ribosomal RNA
Source: RNAcentral